Molecule: ribosomal RNA, 253 nt
Filed under: uncultured bacterium
Lineage: Bacteria
Description: partial 16S ribosomal RNA
Rfam family: Bacterial small subunit ribosomal RNA
Source: RNAcentral
UACGUAGGGUGCGAGCGUUAAUCGGAAUUACUGGGCGUAAAGGGUUCGUAGGUGGCUGGCUAAGUCAGACGUGAAAUCCCUCAGCUUAACUGGGGAACUGCGUCUGAGACUGGUCAGCUUGAGUGCAGGAGAGGAACGCGGAAUUCCAGGUGUAGCGGUGAAAUGCGUAGAUAUCUGGAGGAACACCGGUGGCGAAGGCGGCGUUCUGGACUGCAACUGACACUGAGGAACGAAAGCCAGGGGAGCAAACGGG